AUGUGUCCCAAGAGGAGUCAGUAUUUGGUCACCAACCAUAGAGAGGGCAUUGAUUAUAAGUUACCAUUAGUCAAAAAAGCAGCAAAAGAAGGGCAUCACUACCAAUCAAUUAAAGAAAGUAAUAAUUAUCUCUUUCCUACUCUUUCCUUCUACCCCAAAACAGUGGGGAAACAAACUUUAAAGAGCUUGCAGAAGGAUGUAUCUCAGAGAUACACCUCACCUACUACUCUUCAAGCAAUCAGACCCCAGGGUUAUGUCUGUGUUACGGUGAGAGCAAAAGUUGAAGAGAGAGUCCUUAUAGUGCUUUUUAGCUUGGCAGUGUUUUUUCUCUAUGCACUGCAAUGGAAGCGUGAAGGUGGCUCACCAGAUGCUGGAGCUUUAAGGUAUAAUUGGCAAGUACAAAUUAUAUAGGGAGGCCAAAUUGGCUGACUAGAAGCAGCUAGAGUGAGCUGCUGUCAUGAGAGAAGAAAAGAGUAGUGAGUAAAAACUAGCUCUUCAACUGGAACAUCCACGUGGACACCUUAAGAUUCACCAAUGAAGCAAGGAGACCCAUGGAAAACAGAGAAGAGCAAAAGAGGACAACUGCCCACCCAGGAGUGGCAUGGAGCCAAAGGAGGCCCUCUACCAUGGGGAAAUGGUGAGUGACUGAGAGUAUCUGGGGACCCAUACUUUUACUACAGACCUUUGCAUCCCUGGGCUCAGGAGAUCCCCCAUGCAUCCCUUAACUGGGACCUUCAGGCUGACACAAAGAGCUAUGUGGAAUCUGGGCAGAGCUGCCACUCAGGCACAUGCAGAAUCUUAGAAGUCUUGGAUGCCUGGGCACCCUAGCACCAGCAGCUGUAGCUCCAGCAAUAGGGGAGGCCAGGCUCUCUUGCAUGCCCCCCGCACCAGGAAAGGUGUCAAAUUCAAAGGGGCUGAGCAGGGAUGUGCUGUAGGCCUUGCAUCCACUGCACCUUGCAGGACAUAGGCCACUCCAACCCCAUCUAAGUUCUCCACCGGGAGCAGCUCAGCACUUCCCUGGGAUGGAGCUCUCAGAAGGAGAGGCAUACCACCAUUUCUGCUGCUCUGCAGCCCUCACUCCUGUUGCCCUCAGACUCUGGAGGGAGUGAGGUGGUUGGGGACUGGUGCAGACUCCUGGCGCAAAGCAACAGUCUUAUGGAAAAGUAGCCACACUGUUUUCCACAUGGGUCCCAACCCUGCUACUCAUCACUGGCCAAUGCCUCUCGAACUGGGUCCCUAGAAUAGCCAAACUGUCCCCACCUGAACACUUCAGUCUUUUCUCUGAGGAAGAAAUCCCAGAGACAAACCACAGCCCCGCUGCCAUUGCUGCUGCAGUGAUACCACUCUUACUUCGUUCAGGCUGGGGAAGAAAUAAAGGGCCUAGUUGCUAUGCUGGUGCCUCCGGCAUGCUUCAGUCACCAUACAGAGAAGAGCUCAGUCUCUCUUCCCUGUGAGACCCACCCCCAGCUCUUCAGCAGGCAGGGCCCCAAGCUCUGGACCACAGAACAGCUGCCCUACCCCCAGCUGAGCAUUCCUACUGCUAGUGGCUCUGUGUUUGCUGAGGAGGGGCUCCCAGAGGCCACUGACAGCCCCUCUGCCACUGCCAUGGCAGCAAUUCUGCCCCUGGUGUCCUCAGACUGAAAAAACAAAGAGCCUGAAGGCUGUACUCACGCUUCCAACCUGCCACAGUCACCAUAUGGAAAGGAGCCCAGUAUCUCCUCCCUGUAAGCCCUCAACUCCCCACUCUUCACCAAGUGGAGCCUCCAGCUUCAACCAGCAGCACAUCUGCCCCACCUCCUGGCUGAACAUUCCCAGUAGCUGUGGCUCUGUUAUUCGCUGAGGUGGAGCUCCCAGGGAAAACUGAAAGCCCUCUGCCACUGCUACUGCAGUAGUACUGUCCUUGCUGCUCUCCGACUGGGAGCAGGAAAGGAGCAAAGGUACCACUCCUAGAUGGGCAAUUGUCCUGUUUCGCUCUUCUCUGUUCUCCUGAGUGCUUUAAUCACACCUCCAGCAAGCUGCAGUUGCCCUGAGGAAAGAGGCCAGUCUGUCUCCGGACAAAACUCCAGCCCAGCUUUGUUCCACAAAGUAGCCAUUCCACCCCAGGCCAAUUGCACUGAUUGACAGAGGCUCUGCAUUUCUCUGGAGUGGAGCCCCAAGAGACCAGUGAAAGGUCCUCUGCCAUAGCCACUGCCAAAGUCCCUUCUGUUGCUGCCUCCAAGCUAGGGAAGGAACAUAAAUCCUGAGCUCGUCCCAGGACUGCAGUAUGCAGCAGCUGAGGAGUGCCAAACCGAGAUCUCCAGCCAGCCCUCAAGUGGAAAAGGAGCCCACACUUUCAGGACACCGAGUGACACAGUAGCUGCAAUUGUGAGGAAACACAGAGGAGUUACAGCUGAGCAAGAGUCUACCUACAUGCCAUUACGCUUAAGUGCCAUCAACUGGAUCAAAGCCCAAACUUUAGCACCAAAAAUACUUUGCUAAUAUACCCCUCUGUGAAACCAAGGACAAGUACUCAGUUACAAAUGAAGACCCUGGACAAAGCCUCGACCCUCUGAAAAUAUCCAGAAAAGAAGUCAGCUGACUGUACUCAAAUUUGCCUCAGUUAAAGGAACAUCAGCCCACACAGAUGAGAAAGAAUCAAUGCGAGAACUCUGGCAACUCAAAAAGCCGGAGUGUCUUCUUACCUCCAAAUAACUGCACUAGUUCCCUAGCAAGGGUUCUUCGCCGGCUGAAAUGACAGAAACAGAAUUCAGAAUAUGAAUAGGAACGAAGAUGAUUGAGAUUCAGGGGAGAGUCAAAAUCGAAUGCAAGGAAUCUAAGGAUUACAAUAAGGUGAUACAGGAGCUUAUAGGCCAAACAGCCAUUGUAAGGAAGAACCAACUGAUCUUAAAGAGCUCAAACACACACUACAAGAAUUUCAUAAUUCAAUCACAAGUAUUAACAGCAGAAUAGACCAAGUUGAGGAAAGAAUCUCAAAGCUUGAAGACUGGUUCUCUGAACUAAGUCAGAAAAAAUCAGGAAAAAUGAAUAAAAAAGAAUGAACACAACCUCCAAGAAAUGGAGGAUUAUGUAAAGAGACAAAAUCUAUGUUUCAUUGGCAUCCCUGUUGUGUAUUAGGCUAUUCUUGCAUUGCUACAAAGAAAUAAUUGAGACCAGAUAAUUUAUAAAGAAAACAGGUUUAAUUGGCUCAUGGUUCUGCAGGCUGUACAGGAAGCACAGUGUUAACAUUACUUAGCUUCUGGCGAGGCCUCAGGGAGCUUUUACUCAUGCGGGAAGGCAAACUGGGAGUUUGCACAUGGAAAAACUGAGAGCUUCACAUAGCGAAAGCAGGAACAAGAGAAAGAGUGGGGACAGAGGAGGUGCCACACACUUUUAAAUGACC
RNAcentral lists this long non-coding RNA (3379 nucleotides) under Macaca mulatta (Rhesus monkey). Its description in RNAcentral is "lncRNA (ENSMMUG00000062605.1)". Lineage: Eukaryota; Metazoa; Chordata; Mammalia; Primates; Cercopithecidae. The record is from RNAcentral.